GUUCAAUUUUAGGGAAAAAAUUAGAACUGAAUUUUAAUUUAUCUUUUUUUUUGUAAGCUUAUGAUAGGCCACUUCUGUCCAAUUGCUAAAAAAAUUAAGGUUUUAUAAUUAAAAAUAAAUAAAUCUUUAAAAGCAACUAUUAGACAGUUUAAGUAGUAAACAGCACAAUGAGAUCUGUGCAAUGCAUCAAAGCUUCCUCUGUGUCACUCGUGUACCCCUUUGUUUUUCAGGUUUUUCUAUAGUUUGUAAAAGACUCUAGAACAAUCAGAGUGACUGAUUUAAAGCACUUCAAAGCAAUGCUGUGGUGGACUACAACGCUGGGACACUAUAAUGGACUAUAAUGGAAUGAAUGAAAAGGAAUGAGAGGGAGACCCCAGCACAAAUUCAAGUUCAGAAAAAUACAUAUAACCACAAAAUGGGUGACAGUGGUGACAUACAGGGACCAAGAUUUCCUCUCAUGUAUUCUGAACAACAUGAAGCAUUAUUCGCUAAAGCCGUAUGUGGCCAGUAGAGUCCUACAGGAUAUUUGGAUUCCUUCCAUACUUACAUCACUUCUCGAACAAGAUACUUGAACAUCUGAGCUGUGGAAGGCGAAAAAGUCCCAUGAGAAGUGAGUACACCUUAAUAUCUUCUAUUUUCUGUCCAGGUCCCUCAUAUUAGUAACUAGUGUUGGUAUGUCAGCUAGUAUCUGUCUGUCUGAAGUUGUGUACCUGCUAGCAAAGUGAAUAAAUUACAAAGUAGAAGUUUUCA
RNAcentral lists this long non-coding RNA (750 nucleotides) under Calidris pugnax (ruff). RNAcentral's name for it is "lncRNA (ENSCPUG00000005711.1)". The record is from RNAcentral. Lineage: Eukaryota; Metazoa; Chordata; Aves; Charadriiformes; Scolopacidae.